CUACGGGUCGCUGCAGUGAGGAAUAUUGCACAAUGGGGGGAACCCUGAUGCAGCGACGCCGCGUGGAGGAUGACGCAUUUCGGUGUGUAAACUCCUUUUAUAUGUCAAGAAAAUGACGGUAGCAUAUGAAUAAGCACCGGCUAACUCCGUGCCAGCAGCCGCGGUAAUACGGAGGGUGCAAGCGUUACUCGGAAUCACUGGGCGUAAAGGACGCGUAGGCGGGUUGGAAAGUCAGGUGUGAAAUCCUACAGCUUAACUGUAGAACUGCACUUGAAACUUCUAAUCUAGAGUAUGGGAGGGGGAGAUGGAAUUAGUGGUGUAGGGGUAAAAUCCGUAGAUAUCACUAGGAAUACCUAAAGCGAAGGCGAUCUCCUGGAACAUUACUGACGCUAAGGCGUGAAAGCGUGGGGAGCAAACAGGAUUAGAUACCCGAGUAGUC
Molecule: ribosomal RNA, 439 nt
Filed under: uncultured bacterium
Lineage: Bacteria
Description: partial 16S ribosomal RNA
Rfam family: Bacterial small subunit ribosomal RNA
Source: RNAcentral